UUAUAAAUAAAGCUGCUACGAACAUUUGUGUACAACUCUUCCUGUGAACAUAUAUUUUUCAUUUCUUUUAGGUAUAUACUUAGGAGUAGAAUUACUGGAUUACAGGAAAGAGAACUACAGAGCUCAGGAUGAGCAGAAACAAUAUCAAAUGUUAGGUCCAUGCCCCAGGAAUGUUCGCUGUUGGACUCCAUAAUUGUUCCUAACAUCUCCAGUGAAUGCAGUACUUUUAUAGCAGAGGUAAAAAAUGAACAAUGCCACUGAACUACACCUGAAGCAACUGUGGGAAGCACUCUAUACCUUUCAUGGACAGCUUUCUUUCUGUUCUUUCUCUUAAGCACUCCCUCUUCGCCCCCUCUUCCAUUUUUCAUUUUCCGUAAAUCAGCCUGUGGCAGCCAUGGACAUUGAUAACCUCAUUGGUGGCGUUUAAGCCCAAGGACAUUGCUUCUUUUGUGUUAAAACUAUAAAGGGAAGGCAUUUAUGUGUCAUGCUGGUAAAAGUACACUAGACAGUAAGCAGUGGAACACAGGAAUUAAGAACUAGGGCUUUGAAGUCCAAAAACCCUGUAAUGGAAUCAUGGGGCAAAAUCUUUACAGAAUAUUUCUGAGGCUUAGGUUUUUGGUAAGUAAAAUGAAAUACUACUUAUUGUAUAGUAUUAUAAUUAAUGAGCAUAAGCCUGCACCUACUAGUCACUAACUACAUGACAGACCCUGAUAUUCAGUGCCUAGAUCCACAUAAAUUACUCUGCAUAAUAUGUUCAAUAUUGUUAAGCAUUAUUAUUUUGAAGUAAUAAUAAUUGUUAUUAAUAUGAAACACAUUACUUCAGUGAAAUGGAUUUAUUAAAUAACAAUACUGUAGUGGCAAAUCAGGUUUAACUAAAUUACUACUUAUAGAAUAAAAUGGGU
RNAcentral lists this long non-coding RNA (902 nucleotides) under Homo sapiens (human). RNAcentral describes it as "HSALNT0008237". Lineage: Eukaryota; Metazoa; Chordata; Mammalia; Primates; Hominidae. The record is from RNAcentral.